RNAcentral lists this ribosomal RNA (136 nucleotides) under uncultured eukaryote. Its description in RNAcentral is "partial 18S ribosomal RNA". It matches the Rfam family "Eukaryotic small subunit ribosomal RNA", at positions 1514 to 1650 of the family's 1831-position model. The record is from RNAcentral.
CACGAGUUCAUCACCUUGGCCGAAGGUCUGGGUAAUCUUGUUAAACUCUGUCGUGCUGGGGAUAGAGCAUUGCAAUUAUUGCUCUUCAACGAGGAAUUCCUAGUAAGCGCAAGUCAUCAGCUUGCGUUGAUUACGU